GUCAGAUGUGAAAGCCCGGGGCUCAACCUCGGAAUUGCAUUUGAAACUGGCAAACUAGAGUACUGUAGAGGGGGUAGAAUUUCAGGUGUAGCGGUGAAAUGCGUAGAGAUCUGAAGGAAUACCGGUGGCGAAGGCGGCCCCCUGGACAGAUACUGACACUCAGAUGCGAAAGCGUGGGGAGCAAACAGGAUUAGAUACCCUGGUAG
RNAcentral lists this ribosomal RNA (206 nucleotides) under uncultured bacterium. Its description in RNAcentral is "partial 16S ribosomal RNA". It matches the Rfam family "Bacterial small subunit ribosomal RNA", at positions 587 to 793 of the family's 1533-position model. The record is from RNAcentral.